Long non-coding RNA from Chrysemys picta bellii (western painted turtle), 416 nucleotides. RefSeq lists it as uncharacterized. Lineage: Eukaryota; Metazoa; Chordata; Testudines; Emydidae. The record is from RefSeq and is a predicted model, not a curated record.
UUUGGGAGUGAGUGAGAGAGAGGGUGAACUCGAACAUCUCUCUGGCUACCUGCAUUGGCCGGGCAUAUUAACUUCACACCUGGAGUGAAAAGGGGAAUGAUUCUUCUCCCUAGUGCACCUGUGAUGCCAAGAGGAAUGAAGAUGUUCCUGUUGAAGUGCUGGUGUAUCACUCUCAGAAACUGAAAUGAAACUAUACAAAUACUGACGGUCGAGAACUGAGAACUGAUCAGCUUUGGAAAGAUAGUCUGGGGCUGUGACACACCAUAUUCCGCCAUCACUGGAUUCCUUCAGGAUUGAAUUCAUUGCAAACUCCGGACACUUUCAGCUGUCAGAGUGAACUUCCACCUCAGCAGGUGCCGAAUGCCAGCAGCAUGCCUGACCAGAGGACAUGAACAUUUCUUACUGCUUCACACAAA